RNAcentral lists this unclassified non-coding RNA (242 nucleotides) under Hevea brasiliensis (rubber tree). The record is from RNAcentral. Lineage: Eukaryota; Viridiplantae; Streptophyta; Magnoliopsida; Malpighiales; Euphorbiaceae.
GGAACCCGGUUCAGACACCACUGUAACGUUAAGAAACAAAAAGAACCCGCAAGUUAAUAAGCGAGAGAUGCAAAACCCAGAUCUUCAAAACCAUAGCAAGGCUGUGACGCGUUAAAAUCACAGAAUAAAAUAAGGGGAAAGGAAAUUUUGCUUUCUGGGAAAAAUGAGAACAGAAAGAAAAAGAUACAAAGUCAUUGAAGUUUCCGUUAGUCUUUUCUUUUAAUUUCUUAGAAAAAAAAAAC